RNAcentral lists this ribosomal RNA (623 nucleotides) under uncultured bacterium. RNAcentral's name for it is "bacterial SSU rRNA". The stretch from base 1 to 536 matches the Rfam family "Bacterial small subunit ribosomal RNA", at positions 338 to 873 of the family's 1533-position model. The record is from RNAcentral.
CCUACGGGAGGCAGCAGUAAGGAAUAUUGGACAAUGCUCGCAAGAGUGAUCCAGCCAUGCCGCGUGCAGGAAGAAUGCCCUAUGGGUAGUAAACUGCUUUUGAACUAGAGAAAACCCCAGUACGUGUACUGGGCUGAUAGUAUAGUUAGAAUAAGCAUCGGCUAACUUCGUGCCAGCAGCCGCGGUAAGACGAAGGAUGCAAGCGUUAUCCGGAUUCAUUGGGUUUAAAGGGAGCGUAGGUGGACUGAUAAGUCAGUGGUGAAAUCUCCGAGCUUAACUCGGAAAUUGCCAUUGAUACUGUUGGUCUUGAGUACAGUUGCUGUGGGCGGAAUAUGACAUGUAGUGGUGAAAUACAUAGAGAUGUCAUAGAACACCGAUUGCGAAGGCAGCUCACAAAGCUGUAACUGACACUGAGGCUCGAAAGUGCGGGGAUCAAACAGGAUUAGAUACCCUGGUAGUCCGCACCGUAAACGAUGAUUACUCGCUGCUAGGGGGCAACCUUUAGUGGCUUAGGNGAAGAGANAAGUAAGUACACCGCGGGAGGACGCCGGCGACGGAGAACGUACGAAAGGAAGUAGACGGACGGNGAGGAGAGCCGACGGACGACGACGAGGGGAGGAGGG